UUGUCGCUCCUCUGUACCCUCCCAUACCCCCGCAGGUCAUGCCACGAUCGCCUCCGAGGCCACAACCUUCUCUGUCCGAGUUCAUGGAGAUGCUCCCUACAGACCGUGUCGCUCCCCUGUCUCCUGCCAUGCCCCCUCCUCCUCGUAUCUGUACAGAUGUAAGUCCCUGACCAAUGCAUGUAUGAUGCAUCACUUUUUUUUUCUGAACUGAUAUGAACCUGAGUGUUCAAUCCUUACUCCCUGUAUUGAUGCAUAUUUAUUUUUUCUGAAUUAUAAUGAAUGUGUCAUCGUAGUGCCUUUUUUUAUAAAUUGAUAUGAACUUGUGUGCUCAGUCCUUACUCCCUGUAUAAUCAUUUUUUAAUUCUAAUGAACAUGUCAUGGUCAUCCCUGUGUGCUUGCAACAGAUCGAGCCCAAGUUAGCAUGUGAUAUUGCUUUGCAAAACCAUGAGUGCACUGACGAACGACACCGUGAUAUGGAAAUACGUCCUCCCCCGAUCAUACUUGAGAACUUCAGCACCCCUAAAAAGGGAGCUACUAGCGGCCCAUUUUGUGUGAGUAUCGUUAUCACCAUAAUUUUUACAAAUUUCUUUAACAUUCACUAACUUGUGCGACCAAUGCAUCAUGUAAUUUCAGGGUUCAACAUGUACUCCUGAUUGUGAUGAUAACUUAAAACCAGACUUGGGUAUGACAUUUGACAGUAUGGAAGAUGUUGAGAUUUUUUACAAGGCUUAUGCACACAAUAUUGGAUUUUCAGUCAGAAUUGGGCAGAAAAAGACAAUAGAUGAUGUGGUGGUCUGGAGGCGAUUUCUUUGUUCAAAAGAAGGUUUCCGAACUAAGAAGGAGGAGGAACGCAAGAAGGAUUUGAAGGGAGGGAAGAUAAGAACACAUGCAAGAAAGAUUACUAGAUGUGGUUGUGAAGCCAUGAUAACUGUCAAGCGUAUGCAGGAUGGCAAAUACUCAAUAUCAGAUUUUCACGAAGAACACACCCAUCAAUUUAUCACACCCACCAAGCAACAUUUAAUCAAGUCUAAUAGAGAAGUCAGCGAGAAGGCCAAGACCACACUAUUCACAUGUCACGCAGCUAGUAUUGGCACAUCUGGAGCCUUUCGAUUGCUUCGUGUUGGUGAGGGUGGAUUUCAGUUUGUGGGGUGCACGAAGAGAGACUUGCAGAAUUAUCACCGUGACAUGAGAAGUACUUUCAAGGAUACAGAUGCUCAAAUGUUUAUUGACAACCUCAGAAAGAGGAAGCAAAUCAACCCAGGAUUCUUCUUUGAUUAUGUUCUUGAUGAUAAAAAUCAAUUGAAACGUGUGUUUUGGGCAGAUGCAUUUUGUAGAAAGAAUUAUGCUUUAUUUGGAGAAAUGGUGUCUUUUGACUCCACAUACAGCACAAAUCAGUACAAGAUGAUUUUUUGUCCAUUCACGGGAAUAAACCACCAUAUGGGAUCUGUUUUCUAUGGUGUUGUCUUGAUUGUUGAUGAGAAAGAAGAGUCGUACAAAUGGGUGUUUGAAACAUUUUUGAAAGCCAUGGAUGGGGCAGCACCGAGGCUUAUAGUAACCGAUGAAUAUGCUAGCAUGAAGGCUGCCAUUGAUAUAGUUAUGCCAAACACCGUCCAUAGGCUAUGCAUGUGGCACAUAAUGAGAAAGCUUCCGGAAAAGGUUGGUCCUUCACUGAAAGAGGAUGAGCAUUUUUACAACUCAUUUAAUGCAUGUGUAUGGGGUUCUGAAAGCCCAGCUGAAUUUGAGGCAAAGUGGUCUUCCAUGAUUUCUGAAUUUGGUCUUGAAGAAAACACAUGGUUUGCUAGGAGAUAUGAAAUUCGUGAAUCAUGGAUACCAGCCUACUUUAGAGGUGUAUUCUUGGGUGAAACUCUGAGAACCACUUCGAGGUCAGAGAGUGCUAACUCAUUCUUUAAUCACUUUAUUGGUUACAAGCAUGCUUUGGUGGAGUUUUGGAUUAGGAUUGGAACAGCCCUGGAAGAACAACGUCCGAAUGAACUCAAGGCUGAUCAUGAUUGCCUCAACUCCAUGUCUCCACUGAUUACAUCAUGGGAGAUCGAGAAGCAUGCAAGCCUAUACUUCACCCAUGAGGUUUUCAAAGCUUUUCAGAAGGAGGUGCGUGCGGCUAGAGAUCACUGCUUAAUUGAAAGCAUAUUGUAGGAGGGUGAUGUGAAAACCACGGUUGUAGGAGGUGAUCACUCUUACAAGUCCAGAGAAGUUAAGUUCAACACAACAUCCAUGAGUGCUCACUGCUCUUGCAUGUUAUUUGAGACACGUGGAAUUCCAUGCCGACAUAUCAUCGUGGUUUUGAGAGGUGCAAAAAUUAAUGAGCUACCAAGCCAUUUCAUUCUAGAUAGGUGGAAGAAAACAGUUAACAGGAGGUCACUAUACGAUAGUGGUGGCAACUUGCUUGAAUAGAACGAGAGUAGUUCUUUAUAUUUGGCAAAAAGAAAAAUGGUUUCAGAGAUACACCAAACAUUAGAUGACACUAUCAGGUUGGCUGAACAUUCUUCUGAAGAAUUGGAAGCGUUGAGAAACGGUCUCCUUGACACGAAAAGAAAGUUAUCUGAAAGAGUUACUGCCAAUAAUCCUAGUAGACAAGAUGAAUUCGAGGCAUACAUUGGUUGUAGUAUGCCUAAUGAAGUUGAAAUUUAUCCACCAACUGAUGUGCAUACAAAGGGGAGGUGCAAAAGAAUUAAGGGACACUUAGACAAGGGUGGAGAAGGGAAACAAAAAAAGGAUGGAGAAGGGAAGCAAAAUAAAAAUGGAGAGCGGAAGAAAAAUGCCGGAGGACCGAAAAAGCCUCGCACGUGUGGGACUUGUAAGCAGAUUGGCUUCCAUGAUACUCGUAGUUGCCCCAACAAGAAUUAAGAACCGAAUAGGUAUUUUCCCCAACAAAUUGGCAACAUAUUUCAUAGUUCUUAUCUAUGUAUAUUCGCUUUCAAAAAGUGACUAUAUAUUCCAUUAUAACUGAUCAGAUCAUUUCUACUUGCAGGUUCUUUUAUUCUGAUUUGAGUCAACAUAAGACUUUCUUUUUGGUGUUGUGCAAGAUGGAAAAUCAAAGCUUAAGCGUUAUGUACUGGGCGUUACCACUGUAGUAGAAGAAGUUUAUGUGUAUCUCUAAAUCUUGUGUUGGUCUGAAAAUCCUACGAACCAGUGACAUGUACUUGAUGUUACCACUUGUUUUAAUGCACUGGAUUGUCUUAUUUAUCUGAAAUGCUCUAGUGGUUAUUUGGCAUUAUAUUG
This 3240-nucleotide long non-coding RNA is filed under the name Triticum aestivum (bread wheat). RNAcentral's name for it is "long non-coding RNA (TAES_LNC004355)". The record is from RNAcentral. Lineage: Eukaryota; Viridiplantae; Streptophyta; Magnoliopsida; Poales; Poaceae.